AACAGUUGAGGAGAAACCUGAAGAACUAGCAGUUGAAGAGAAACCCGAAAAACCAACAAUUGAGGAGAAACAUGAAGAACCAAUAGUUGAGAAGAAACCUGAAGAACCAGUAGUUGAGGAGAAACCAGAAGAACCACUAAUUGAAGAGGAGAAAUCUGAAAGGGUAACUUUCCUAGAAAAGGUGAGGAUCAAGCAUUGUCAAAAGGUUUAUCCAUCUUAUUAGUUGUGUAUGUGCGACGAUUCACAUCUGCUUACUUAUUGAAAGACUAAGUGAAACUUCAAAAUUCUUGCAGAGUAUGCUAGUUGUAGACUCGAACGACAAGACUGACAGUGAAAUUCCAUGCAAUACCAACAAAGAUGCUGCCCACUUUCCCGAAGUUGAGGCAAACCCUGAAGAACCAGCAGUUGAAGGAAAACCUAAAGAACCCGUUGAUGAAGAGAAACCAGAUGUACCAGUGGUUGAGAAACCUGAAAAACAAAUGGUUGAGGAGAAACUUGAAGAACCAAUGAUUGAGGAGAAAUCUGACGAACUAGUCGAGGAGAAAUCUCAACAACCAGCGGCUGAAAAGAAACCUGAAGAACCAGCAGCUAAAGAAUCACUUAAAGAGCUAGCAGGGGAGGAAACAACUGAAGAACUAGCACUUGAAGAGAAACUUAGAGAACCAACAGUUGAAGAACUAGUUCUUGAAGAUAAACCUGAAAACCCAGAAAAUGAAGAGGAUAAACUUGAAACAGUAACUCUCCAGGAAAAGGUAAGAAACAAGCAGUGUCACAGAGUUUAUCCAUCCUAUUAGCUCUACAUAUGCAAUGAAUUCACAUCUGUUUAUCCACUGAAAGACUAAGUGAAACUUUAAAUUUUUCUUGCAGAAUUUACCAAUUGCAGACUCAAACGACAAGACUGACAAUGCAACUCCCUGCAAUAACAACAAUGAUAUUGCUGACUCUGCAGCAGUUAAGGAAAAAACUGAAGAACCAGUAGUUGAGGAAAAACAUGAAGAACCGGCAACUGAAGAGAAAUCUGAAGAAUCAGAAUUUAUGAAAAAAACUGAAGAACCAGCGGUUGAGGUAAAACCUGAAGAACCAUCAGUGGAAGAGAAGCCUGAAGAACCAGCGGUUAGGAAAAAUCCUGAAGAACCAGCAGUUAAUGAGGAACCUGCAAAAUCAGCAACGGAAGAGAAACCUGAAGAACCAAUUGCUGAGGAGAAACUUGAAGAACCAACUCUUAAAGAGAAACCUGGAAAACCAGUAAUUGAAGAAACACCUGAAGAACCAACACUGGAAGUAACACCUAAAGAACAAGCAGAGAAACCUGAAGAACCAGUUGAAGAGGAAAAAACUGACAAGGUAACUCUUUUGGAAAAGGUGAGCAUCAAACACUGUCACAAAUUUUUGCCAUCAUAUUAGUUCUGUAUGUGCAACAAUUCACAUCUAAUUAUCCAUUGAAAGACUAAGUGAAACUUUAAUUCUUCUUGCAGAAUAUACCAGUUGUAGAUUUCAAUGAUACGACUGACAGUGAAAUUCCAUGCAAUACCAACGACGAUGUUGCUGAAGACGUAGCAGUUGAGGAAAACCUUGAAGAACCAUCAGUUGAGGAGAAACCUGAAGAAUUAGCGGUUGAAGAGAAACCUGAAAAACCAGCAAUUGAGGAGAAACGUGAAGAACCAAUAAUUGAGAAGAAACCUAAAGAACCAGCAGUUGAGGAGAAACCUGAAGAACAAACCGUUGAAGAGAGACUUGAAGAACCAACAAUUGAAGAUGAGAAACUUGAAGAACCAACAAAUGAAGAUGAGAAACUUGAAAGGGUAACUCUCCUAGGAAAGGUGAGGAUCUAGCACUGUCACAAAGUUUGUCCAUCCUAAUAGUUUUAUACGUGCAAGACUUUCAGAUCUGCUUAUUGAAAAACUAAAUGAAACUUUAAAUUCUUCUUACAGAAUAUGCAAGUUGUAGACUCCAUCGACAAGACUGACUGUGAAAUUCCAUGCAACACCAACAAUGAUGUUGCUUACCAUCCAGCAGUUGAGGAAAAUCUAGAAAAAACAGCAAUUGUGGAAACAACUGAUGAACCAGUGGUUGAAGAGAAACCUGAUGUACCAGCGAUUAAGGAGAAACCUGAAGUACCAAAUAUUGAGCAGAAACUUGAAGAGUUAGCAGGAGAGGAAACACAUGAAGAACUAGCAGUUGAAGAGAAACUAGAAGAACCAAUUACUGAAGAGACACCUGCAGAACUAGUUAUAGAAGAGAAACCUGAAAACCCAGCAGUUGAAGAGGAGAAACCUGAAACAGACGCUCUCCAAACGAAGGUCAGGAUUAAACAUUGUCACAAAAUUUAUCCAUCCUAUUAGCUUUAUAUGUGCAAGGAACUCACAUAUGCUAAUCUAUUGAAAGACUAAGUCAAACUUUAAAUUUUUCUUGCAGAAUAUGCCAAUUGUAGACUCAAAGGACAAGAUUGACAUUGAAAGUCCAGGCAAUAUCAACAAUGAUGGUGCUGACUAUCCAGAAGUUGAAGAUAAACCUGAAGAACUAGCAGUUGAAGAAAAACAUGAAGAACAAGCAAUUGAAGAGAAGCCUGAAGAACCAGCAAUUAAGGAAAAAGCUGAUGAACCAGCAGUGCAAGAAAAACUUGAAGAACCAGCUGUGGAAAAGAAACCUGAAGAACCAGUGGCUACGGAGAAACCUGAAGAACCAGCAAUUAAGGAAAAAGCUGAUGAACCAGCAGCGCAGGAGAAACCUGAAGAACCAGCUGUGGGAAAGAAACCUGAAGAACCAGUGGCUACGGAGAAACCUAAAGAACCAGCAAUUAAGGAAAAAGCUGAUGAACCAGCAGUGCAAGAGAAACCUGAAGAACCAGCUGUGGAAAAGAUACCUGAAGAACCAGCAGUCGAGGAGAAAUUUGACGAACCAGCAGUUGGAGAGAAAUCAGAAGAACCAGUAGUUGAACAAACACCUGCAGGACCAGCAUGGGAAGAAACACCUAAAGAACUAGCAUUUGAAGAGAAACCUGAAGAACCAGCAGUUGAAGAAACACCUGAAGAACCAGCAGUUGAAGAAACACCUGAAGAACUAGCAGUUGAAAAGAACCCUGAAAAAACAGCAGUCGGAGAGAAACAUGAAAAAGUAACUCUCUUGGAAAAGGUGAGGAUCAAGCACAAUCACAAAUUUUAUCCAUCCUAUUAGUUAUGUAUGUGCAACAAUUCACAUCCGCCUGGUGGAAGAUUAAGUUAAACUUUAAUUCUUCUUGCAGAAUAUACCAAUUAUAGAGUUAAACGAGAAGAAUGACAGCUCAACUCCUUGCAAUACCAACAAUGAUGUUGCUGACUAUCUAGCAGUUGAGGAAAAACCUGAAGAACCAGCCAUUGAGAAAAAACCUGAAGAACCAAUGGCUAAGGAGAAACUUGAAGAACCGAAUGUUGAGGAUAAACCUGAAAAAUCAGUGAUAGAGGAGAAAUCUGAAAAACUAGCAACUGAAGACAUACUUGAAGAGCGAGCAGGGGAGGAAACACCUGAAGCACUAGCAGUUGAAGAGAAACCUGACGAAUCAGCAGUUGAAGAGACAGUUGAAGAACUAGCUAUUGAACAGAAAUCUAAAAAAACAGCAACUGAAAAAGAGAAACCUGAAGCCGUAACUCUCCUGGAAAAGGUGAUCAACCACUGUCACAGGGAUUCCUUGCUCUAUAUGUGCAAGGAAUUUACAUCUACUUAUCUAUUGAAAGAUUUAGUGAAACUUUAAAUUCUUCUUGCAGAAUAUGCCAGUUGUAGAUACAAAGGACGAGAUUAACAGUGAAAUUCCAUGCAAUGCCAGCAAUGAUGUUUCUGACUAUCCAGCAGUUGAGGCAAAACCUGAAGAACUAUCCGUUGAAAAAAAAUAUGAAGAACCACCAGCAGUUAUAUUGGAGAAACCUGCAGAACUAGCAGUUGAGGAGACACCUGAAAAAACACUAGUUGAAGAGAAGCCUGAAAACCCAGCAGCACGGGAAGAAACACUUGAAGAACCAGCAUUGGAAGAAACACCUGAAGAACCAACAGUUGAAGAGAAACCUGAAGAAGUAGUAGUUGAAGAAAAACUUGAUAAACCAGCAACUGAAAAAGAGAAACCUGAAAAGGUAACUUUCUGCGAAAAGGUGAGGAUCAAGCACUACCACAAAGUUUGCCAAUCCUAAUAGUUUGUAUGUGCAAGGAAUUCACAUAUGCUUAUUUAUUGAAAGACUAAGUGAAACCUUAAAUUCUUCUUGUAGAAUAUGCCUGUUGUAGACUCAAAUGGUAAGACUGGCAGUAAAAUUACAUGCAACACCAAUAAAGAUGUUGCUGAUAAUCCAGCAGUUGAGGAUGAAGAACCAGAAGUUGAGGAGAAACCUGAAGAACCAACAGUUGAAGAAAAACCUGAGGAACCAGCAAUGGAAGGAAAACUUGAGAAACUGGCAGUUGAAGAUAAACUUGAGGAACGAGCAGUUGAACAGAACCCUGAGGAAACAGCAGUUGAACCUGAAGAACCAACAGUUGAAGAAAAACCUGAAGAACCAGCAAUGGAAGGAAAACUUGAGAAACUGGCAGUUGAAGAUAAACUUGAGGAACGAGCAGUUGAAAAGAACACUGAGGAAACACCAGUUGAAGAAAAACUUGAGGAACCAGUAGUUGACAAAAAAGCUGAAGAACUAGCGGUUGAAGAGAAACUUGAAGAACCAUUAGUUAAAGAAAAGCCGGAAGAACAAAGCAGGGAAGUAACUGAAGCUCCCAUAAAAGAGGCAAAGCUUAACCAGAAUGCAAAUGAAGCAAGCAGCAGUCUGCCAACAGCUAUUCUAAGCCAUCCGCCUGCUCAAGGGACAACAAUGACCAACCCAAUAUUGGGAGAACCAAUUAGUAUUGACAAACCUAAAAACGUGCAACAGCUAGAUUCUCAAGAAAUAUCAGAAAUUGAUGAGGCAAUGCAGAGAGAUGAAGAUAACAUAAAGCAGAAGGAUGAGGCUUCUUUCACUGAAGAGCAGAAGUUUACACCACAGAGUGAGUAAUACUAGUUCACAGACAUGCUUUCCCUAUCCAAUUGAUUUUAUUUGCAAUGGAAAAUGGUGAUACUCUUUAGAGAACAGAUCCAAGAGAUUUAACCAUAGUAUCACUCGCAAAAAGUAGAAAAAACAAUUAUAAAAAUGGAACCAAUCUCUAAAAGGAAGCUGAAAUGGAGAGAAGCACCAGAGACAAGCGCCUUUCUGGUUUGGAGAAACCUUGAAAAAAUAGAAUGCACAUCCACAGUAUUUAGCAAUAAUGAUCAUCUAUCAUUACAUACAUGAACAUAAUUAAUUUAUUACUACAUGGAUAUAAUAAAGAAAUCCUAUGAUAUGCUGUUGCUAAGAUAUUAGGACUAGCAGCAUUCAUUAAGUCGUAAAUUGCUAUAUGAAUGUAACAAGCACCUUUUUGGGGGUUCAAAGAUUUCUAGUCACUUCAAUAAUGACUAGAUGUGGUAUUAACAUCUACUACCGACAUAUUGCAGGUGAUGAAAAUCAAAAUACUUCGACAGGGGAUAGUUUCUUAAAUAAGAACAUGUUCGCUGAAGGUGAAGCUGUGCACAUUAAUAGUCAAGAGGAUCUAAUCAGGCAAGAAAUUUCAGGAAGCACAAAAUCUGAGAUAAAUCCAAAUUCAAGUAAAGGAACAGAAAGUGAGGCAAGUGAUAUUGCUAAUAGAGAAGGAUCAAGCAGACUUGGUUAAGCAAAUAAUUUAGUUGCUCUUCAUCCUUAUUGUUCUAAACUUGAUGAGCUACUUGGUUAUGCAGGUAAACGAGCAUCCAGAAGGACCAGAAGUACCAAAACAAAGUGAUGAAAGGGGGAAAUGUAUAGUACAGAAGCAAGAAGAUUCUGUUCGCAACCAGGAAGAACUGUUUGUUGAAGAAAAAAUGAGAUCUUGUGAAGAGGUUGAAACAGAGGUAUUAAAUGAUCUGGCUUCUAUUAAUACUCUGAUCUUUCCUGUCCAUAGACUAAUGAUAGCCAAAACUAUAACUUCAAACAGAUAAGCAAACUUAAAGAUAUAAAUGCUGGUGAUGGAACAAAUAAAAACAUUAUGGAAAAAGAAGAAAAGACCCUGGACAAAAUUCUGACGUCCACCAAAGAAGAAAUUGGUACCAAGAACUCUGAAGAAGGCCAAGUGCUUUCAGAGAUUCCCAGUCAAGAGGUUAAGUGACCAUAGAAGCCUGUUCUUUAUUCAUAUAUGUAACUCGCAGAUAUAAAGAUGCGUCCUCUCUUUCUACUAAAAUCACUUAAAUACCCUCUUUUUCAAAUCUGCAGAACUUUCAACAAGCUAAUUUAAUCAGAGAUGAAGCUUUAUUGAAAGAUGAGCGUGGAAUCGAGAACUUCAUGGUAGUUUCUUCAGAAGAAAUUAGCUGUGAAGGCUCUAUUGAAAAGGUAAACGAAAUGAGAACCUGAGAAUGAAUCAGCCAAUUAACAUCAAGGCAUUCAUAUGGCAACCAUUCACUGAGGGUCUUAAGUUUAUUGCAUGCAUAUGAAUUCUCGUGCCACCUUGUCUUUCUGGAAGAAACAUUGAAAUUCAAGUCUGAAAGUAUUCGAAGUAUACAGUUCUUAGUAACUACUAACUACUAUAAAUUUAAAGUUCUCCGUACAAAACAAAAUAAGUCUUCACUUCCUUUCCCAGAGUUUUUGUUUAUUUUGUAGUUAUUGCAUAAAAUGGGAAGCAAUGCAUGAUAAGAUGAUAUAUACAAGAAAUAGAAAAUUAAUUCUCUGCUGAUAGAGUAUAUUCCAUUGCACAAAUGUAGACCAUCUUUGAUCUUUUAUUUGUUUAUUUAUUUAUUUUGUUCGAGGCUGUAACAAGUGAGACAUCCUAGUAUCAUUGGGAUUCUUAUGUGCGACUUUUGAAAAAUAAGCCGAAACAAAAAUUAGCCAAAUGCUGACAAAUGGGUAUGACUUAUUUUUCUGAAAAAGAACUGACCAUUGACAUUGCAAAUCGAGUAUUCCUUUGAGUCUUUGAAACAAUAAGUUGCAAGGGAAGGUUUAAGCAAAUUUCAAAUAUUGCAGCUAGAUGCCUUCAUGCAUUUAUUCUAAUCAUUUUAUUGGUUUUCUUCGGCAGACUCUUUAACAUUGACAAAAAGAAAGAGAUUCUUCUUGGAGAAUUAUCAGUUAAUAAAGGAAGAGGCAGUGGAAACUCUUUCUGGGAGAAAUUCCAAAAUAUGACCUUAAGAGAAUUCACAUGACGUUAAGCUAGAAACCAAGGACUUAAACCACUAGGCCACGGUAACUGUAUUUCAGUUAUAAACAGGAAUCUUGCUAAAAUUAUAAGUCCCAAACCUCAUCAUGUAGAUAUCUGUUAACUUGAUAUAGUGCUCGGCAGUUGACAAUUACUAAAACCACCUGGAGAUUAAGAUAUGAACACCUUCUUCUCUCGUUAGAAUGAUUCUUAAAUGCAUAACUCCUUGUCCUUUUCUCACCAGUGUAUGAAACAUACUAAACAAUGGUAGCACUCAAAAUAUUCUGAGCAAUCACGAUCAUUGUUGCAGAACAGUUGAGCAUGUGUAGUAAUCCUAUGCGAGAUGAAACCAAAAGAAUUUCACCAUCCUAUUAGUUCCGUAUGUGUAAGGAAUUCACAUCUACUUAGCUAUUGAAAGACUAAGUGAAACUUUAAAUUCUUCUUGUAGAAUAUGCCAGUUGUAGACUCGAAUGACAAGACUGACGGUGAAAUUUCAUGCGAUACCAACAAUGAUGUUGCUGACCAUCCGGCAGUUGCAGAAAAACUCGAUGAUUCAGCAGUUGAAGAGAAACCCAAGGAAUGGAUCGUUGAAGAGAAACUGGAAGAAACAGCCAUUGAGGAGAAACUCGAAGAACCAGCAGUUGAGGAGAAACCUAACAAACCAGCGGUUAAAGAGACACCUGAAGAACCUGCAGUGAAAGAAACACCUGAACAACCAACGGUUGAAGAGAAACCUCAAGAACCAGCAAUUCAAGAGAAACCUCAAGAACCAACAGUUGAAAAGAAACCUGAAGAACCAACAAUUGAUGAAGAACUUGAAGAGCCAACAGUUGCGGAGAAACCUGAAGAACCAGCAGUUAAAGAAAACCAUGUAGAACCAGAAGUUGAUGAAAAACGUGAAGAACCACAAGUUGAAGAAAAACAUGAGGAACCAGCAGUUGAAGAAAAACCUAAAGAACCAAAAGUUGAGGAGAAACCGGAAGAACCAGCGGUUGAGGAGAAACCCGAAGAACCAGCAGUGAAAGAAACACCUGAAGAACCAGCGGUGAAAGAGACACCUGAGGAACUAGCAGUUGAAGAGAAACCUGAAGAACCAGUAGCUGACAAAAAACUUGAGGAACCAACAGUUGAGCAGAAACCUGAAGAACCAGCUGUUGAUGAAAAAGGUGAAGAACCGUCAGUUGAAGAAAUACCUGAGGAAUCGGCAGUUGAAAAUUUUGAAGAAGCAGCAGUAGAAGAGAAACCUGAAGAACCAACAGUUAAGGAAAAAACUGAAGAAGCACCCACUGAAGAAAAACCCGACGACCAAGCAGUUGAAGAGAAACCUAAAGAACCACCAGUUGGAGAAGAACCCAAAGAACAAAAUAGGGAAGAUACUGAAGCUGCCACAGAAAGAAUUGAUGAAUCUGGAACACAUAU
RNAcentral lists this long non-coding RNA (8598 nucleotides) under Nicotiana tabacum (common tobacco). RNAcentral describes it as "long non-coding RNA (NTAB_LNC000707)". Lineage: Eukaryota; Viridiplantae; Streptophyta; Magnoliopsida; Solanales; Solanaceae. The record is from RNAcentral.